CUGGGGCCAUUGGCCCGGGGUCACAGCACGGUGGCUCUGAAGGAGGAUUUCCCUUCUGUUUCCGAGCAGUGUCAGGACUCCAGUGUUACGGCUGCAACAUCGUGGUUGGCACCAAAAACGUGGACAUGGGGUGCUCCAACCCCGAGGUGAUCACCUGCUCCCAGUCCCACCAGGGCUUCAAGCACCGGUUCUGCAUUAAAACAGAGAGCGUGGUCCUGGGCAUCCUGCUGACCAGCGGCUGUGCCACCUCUCGCCACUGCCAGCAGCAGGAGCUGCCGGGGGUCCGCAUCCACUGCUGCGACACCGACCUGUGCAACACCUCCCCCGGAGCCCCCCGGCCGCCCCCCGGCCACCUCCUGCUGCUGCCCUGCAUCCUCACCGCCCUGCUCCUCUGGUGAGCCCCCCGUGGGUCUGGGGGAUGUGCCCGGCUCGUGGGUGGGUGCUGGCAGCUGGGUGCCCCCCUGGCUGCUCCCCAGGGUGGGCAGCAUGCCCUUCUCUCCUCUUCCUCAAUAAAAGGUGCCGAACGCUGCGCCCUGGAGAGGUGUCGGUGAUGCUCCCUGAACUCGGGGGGUACCCACAGCAUCCCGGGGAAGGAGGAACGCAAGGUUUGGGGAUCUUCCCAUAUCCUGGUGGGAUUCAGGAGGGCGGCUGAGCCCCGCUCUUCCCACGAGAGGGCAUCCGCCAGCCUCGCUCCGCAUCCCGGCCGCGGGGAUGGAGCAGCAUCCCCAGCACCGGGGGUGGGCGCUGGGCUGGGGGACCGAGCCGGUGGGAAAAGAAAAGAAAAGAAAGAGCAGAAUUUCCAGGCGUUUUUCCCAGCUGAAGAAGCCAAACGGGAGUUUUAACAGAAAAAAAAAAAAAAAAUAUAUAUAUAUAUAUAUAAAUCCCAUCCCGUGCGGAUCGGAGCCCGAGUGGCUGCUCCAAGGUCAUGGCAGGGCUGGGAAUUAAACACAUCUGUCUCAAGAGCCAGCCCUGUGUCUUUAUCACCAGGGAAACAGCAUAAACCUCGCUGUGAGAAGGGGAGGAAAUAGUUUUUAUUCUAUUUUUUUUCCUUCAGAUGAAAAAAAAAAAAAAUAAUGCAAAAGACCUUUUCCAUGCAAAACAUCAGCUUUUGAUGACAUUUCUCAGAUGUGUCUCAGAAAACAAGCCAAAACUCUACUAAAAAUAUUAUCUGAGGCACCUUCCCAAGAGAAACACCUUGGGACUGAUACAAAACACGUUCAGAUUCUGAAGAUUCAAAAUAAAAGGAAAUCAGAAAACAAAUCCUAGAAGAAAAAUGACAAGAGCAGCAACAGUACCCAAUUCCCCCUCUUUCCCCUUAAAACGUUCCUUAUGAUUUUCAGGGGAGCAGGAAACAUUUCCUUGGCAGCUGGAGUUAUUCUGGCUACUGGUUAUUUAUCUGCCUGUGCUGAACUCCUGGCAAAAGCCCUCUCCAGUAUCAAUUCCCAAUGAUCCAGGAUGGGGCAGAUUUUAUGGCCUGAGGAUGGGGAUGGGGCAGAGCUGAUGGCUGAAGAAUUGGGAUGGGGCAGAUUUUAUGGCCUCAGGAUGAGGAUAGGUCAGAG
RNAcentral lists this long non-coding RNA (1559 nucleotides) under Taeniopygia guttata (zebra finch). Its description in RNAcentral is "lncRNA (ENSTGUG00000026071.1)". Lineage: Eukaryota; Metazoa; Chordata; Aves; Passeriformes; Estrildidae. The record is from RNAcentral.